RNAcentral lists this ribosomal RNA (483 nucleotides) under uncultured bacterium. RNAcentral describes it as "partial 16S ribosomal RNA". It matches the Rfam family "Bacterial small subunit ribosomal RNA", at positions 29 to 507 of the family's 1533-position model. The record is from RNAcentral.
UUGAACGCUGGCGGCAUGCUUUACACCUGCCAGUCGCACGGCAGCGCGGGCUUCGGCCUGGCGGCGAGUGGCGAACGGGUGAGUAAUGCAUUGGAACGUGCCCAGUAGUGGGGGAUAGCCCGGCGAAAGCCGGAUUAAUACCGCAUACGACCUGAGGGUGAAAGCGGGGGACCGAAAGGCCUCGCGCUAUUGGAGCGGCCGAUGUCGGAUUAGCUAGUUGGUGGGGUAAAGGCUUACCAAGGCGACGAUCCGUAGCUGGUCUGAGAGGACGACCAGCCACACUGGGACUGAGACACGGCCCAGACUCCUACGGGAGGCAGCAGUGGGGAAUUUUGGACAAUGGGGGCAACCCUGAUCCAGCCAUGCCGCGUGCGGGAAGAAGGCCUUCGGGUUGUAAACCGCUUUUGUUCGGGAAGAAAUCCUCUGGGCUAAUACCCCGGGGGGAUGACGGUACCGGAAGAAUAAGCACCGGCUAACUACGUG